GAUGGAUAUAUCUUCAAGAAC
RNAcentral lists this microRNA (21 nucleotides) under Arabidopsis lyrata. RNAcentral describes it as "aly-miR861-3p". Its record names the gene aly-miR861-3p. Lineage: Eukaryota; Viridiplantae; Streptophyta; Magnoliopsida; Brassicales; Brassicaceae. The record is from miRBase by way of RNAcentral.